AACGAUAACGGCAAACCUGUCGAAAGACUGGGACGCAAAGCUAAAGGGCCUUGUAUACAUGGCAGCCAGCUACCGAAA
This 78-nucleotide non-coding RNA is filed under the name Paenibacillus sp. RNAcentral's name for it is "c-di-GMP sequence". It matches the Rfam family "c-di-GMP-I-GGC riboswitch aptamer". RNAcentral also lists the same sequence under 1 other name. Lineage: Bacteria; Bacillati; Bacillota; Bacilli; Caryophanales; Paenibacillaceae. The record is from RNAcentral.